GAGGAUUUUAUAUUUUUAGUUCCUCUUAAACUUGUCCCAACUGAGAGUAUUUAAGUAUCAACAGAUUUCCAGGGACACGGAGAAUAUGAGCAUAUCAGGGAAUGUAUGCACUCUCAGACCUACCCUGGUGUGGGCUCCAUGGUACAUCCUCCGUGGAGGAUGGAUUGAGAUCUCAGGGUCCUGGCUUUAUCUUGAAAGUAGACAUAGGUAUCAAGCCUUAACUCCUUCUGCAUUUAAAAAUCCUUCUAUCUCAUUGGCUACCUUUGCUCUCAUUUCUAAUUGGAACUAAGGAGAGAGACAGAGCAUGAACGGGGGAGGGGCAGAGAGAGAGGGAGACACAGAUUCGGA
Long non-coding RNA from Leopardus geoffroyi (Geoffroy's cat), 348 nucleotides. RefSeq lists it as uncharacterized. NCBI's taxonomy places the organism in Eukaryota, Metazoa, Chordata, Mammalia, Carnivora, Felidae. The transcript is spliced from 3 exons. The record is from RefSeq and is a predicted model, not a curated record.